GUGGGGAAUUUUGGACAAUGGGCGCAAGCCUGAUCCAGCAAUGCCGCGUGCAGGAAGAAGGCCUUCGGGUUGUAAACUGCUUUUGUACGGAACGAAACGGUCCGGGUUAAUACCCUGGGCUAAUGACGGUACCGUAAGAAUAAGCACCGGCUAACUACGUGCCAGCAGCCGCGGUAAUACGUAGGGUGCAAGCGUUAAUCGGAAUUACUGGGCGUAAAGCGUGCGCAGGCGGUUUUGUAAGACAGGCGUGAAAUCCCCGGGCUCAACCUGGGAAUUGCGCUUGUGACUGAAAGGCUGGAGUGCGGCAGAGGGGGAUGGAAUUCCGCGUUUAGCAGUGAAAUGCGUAGAUAUGCGGAGGAACACCGAUGGCGAAGGCAAUCCCCUGGGCCUGCACUGACGCUCAUGCACGAAAGCGUGGGGAGCAAACAGGAUUAGAAACCCCAGUAGUCC
This 450-nucleotide ribosomal RNA is filed under the name uncultured bacterium. RNAcentral describes it as "partial 16S ribosomal RNA". It matches the Rfam family "Bacterial small subunit ribosomal RNA", at positions 354 to 796 of the family's 1533-position model. The record is from RNAcentral.